UAAAAAUUAAAUAAAAGACAUUUCAUUAAAUUAAAAAAAAAAACAUUCGAACUAGAAAAAAAAAUACAUUCAACCUAGAAAAAUAUAAAAACAAACUACUCCUCGUCCGAAUCAACUUCAAGGUGAGGCAAAUCUAAACUUCCGAGAUGCUCAACGAGAUCGUGUUUUAGCCUCCAAUGCGUGUCUUCGUCAAUGAGCUCCGUAUAGGCUGUAUCAUCGAAGACGGGUUCGACUGGAGGAUCUUGAAUAUGAACCGGUGCUAUCGCCCUUCCGUCGUCUUUUAUAAUCAUGUUGUGUAAAAUAAGGCACAUUGUUGCAGCACGUUGAUGUCGUUUUGUGAACCCGCUGGCCCACAAAAAGCAUGCCAAAUCCACAAAUCUUGAGACGCUACCGCUUCUAACAUAACCGUCGGGUAUUGAUGAUCGCCUCUCAUGUAUUGUCCACGCAAUUCUGUGGGGCACAUUCUCCAGACGAAGUGUGUACAAUCCAGACUCCCUAACAUACCAGGUAGGUGAUGCCUAUCCUCAUGAGCCUGAUACAAUAGCGCGACGUCGUGGCUCGUUGGUCUACGUAGGAAUUCACCACCAUACCUUUUACAUACCGUCUCGCAGAAAUAUUCAAGGCACUCACGAGAGGUCCUUUCAGACAUAUUUAAAUACUCGUCCCCCUCGUCUGGUGGGUUACCGGUUGCAAGUUGUUUAAUUGCCGAAGUAACCUUUUGCAACGGUGUAAAGCUUUUCUUCAUUCUCCCGUCUAAGCCUUCUUGAAACCACUCGUCAUACGCUUCCACGUCACUAACAAUUUUUAGGAACAAAGACUUGGACAUACGA
Molecule: long non-coding RNA, 830 nt
Filed under: Helianthus annuus (common sunflower)
Lineage: Eukaryota; Viridiplantae; Streptophyta; Magnoliopsida; Asterales; Asteraceae
Description: hypothetical non coding rna
Source: RNAcentral